RNAcentral lists this long non-coding RNA (1020 nucleotides) under Triticum aestivum (bread wheat). RNAcentral describes it as "long non-coding RNA (TAES_LNC005501)". The record is from RNAcentral. Lineage: Eukaryota; Viridiplantae; Streptophyta; Magnoliopsida; Poales; Poaceae.
CAGUCAUCAUCCGUGGUGCCCAGAUUGUUUCCAGGUUACAGGGGUAGCCCCAUCUCACCUGGUUGACAAGACAUGACUAAAUAUUAGCUAUGCUAAUUUGAAUCAAAUUCAUACAAUGUGUCCGGAUGCUUUCUAUCUACAUUUUGUUUCAGCAGAACUUCCUGACCUUGUAAAAAAAGUGCGCACAAAUCACAUAACUACAAAAUCAAAACAUGAUACUAUCUUCCAAGUAAAGAUAAGCCAUGCUUAGGGAACAUGUAAAACACAUUGCCUGCUUUUCACUGAACUAGUGAAGGCGCAUACAAUACCGACUUCUAGCACACAAAAAUUAACUAAAACAUCCAUCCAAUGCAGAGUAAAAUAUAUCUGUUUCUCAAAGAACGAAAAUUACACAGACCACGUCCAAGAUCAAAUACUGCAACUUAAAUUCGAAUUUGAAACACGAUGACUUUAUACUGGCACGGUCGACCAAGUCACCUUCACAGAGAGGGCGGCAUGCUGAAGCAUUAUUUGUUGACAGGCACAUCCAUGAAUGUUUGCUUUGAAGUAGCAACUGCGUUCAAGAUGAUCAUUUUUAGAGCCGUUCUGACCUACCUUGAACUUCAACUGCAUCCAAGUAUCCAUCUUCACAGCAAUCACGCAUCUUCUUAAGCCACAUGACUCAGCAGUAGUGCCACGAAAGAGAGGAAUUUCCUGAUCUGAUCCGCCGACAAACACAAACGAACUGAGCGAUAAAUUGAAUCCAUUCUGCACUUUCAAUACGAGAACAUCUAUUGUUGCUUCCACUGCAUUGUAAACACGUGCUAAAGUGAUGUCAACCGCACCACAAUUGCCAUGAAUGCGAUGUGUGAAUGACACAGAAGGUAUGGUUAGGUCACAAUAAUCUGUUGCGCCGUCGAUCAAUGUUAGAUCAUCUUCUUCUUUCUCUCCUGUCUUGAUCCUCAUGUCAAAUUCAACUAGAACAGGGGAAUUCAUUGCAAUGCCUCGCUUAGGGCCAGUCAUCUCAAUGAAAGAACCCUG